RNAcentral lists this ribosomal RNA (451 nucleotides) under Ureaplasma urealyticum. Its description in RNAcentral is "bacterial LSU rRNA". It matches the Rfam family "Bacterial large subunit ribosomal RNA", at positions 1136 to 1592 of the family's 2925-position model. Lineage: Bacteria; Bacillati; Mycoplasmatota; Mycoplasmoidales; Mycoplasmoidaceae. The record is from RNAcentral.
UACAGCUCACUUGUCGAGCGACUCUGCGCGGAAGAUGUAACGGGGCUAAGCAUAUAACCGAAGUUAUGGGUUACAUAUUGUAUAUGUAGCGGUAGACGAGUGUUGUAUAUGGGGCGAAGGUAGACUGUGAAGACUACUGGACUUUAUACAAGUAAGAAUGCUGGCGUGAGUAACGAAUGAGAGUGAGAAUCUCUCAAACCGAUUGACUAAGGGUUCCUGGGCAAGGGUCGUCCUCCCAGGGUAAGUCGGAUCCUAAGGCGAGGCUGAAAAGCGUAGUCGAUGGGAAACAGGUUAAUAUUCCUGUACCUACGAAUUGUGUGAUGGAGUGACCGAAAAAGUUAUUAUGUGCCGGUUAUUGGAUUCCGGUUUAAAUAGCAAGGUUAGUAAGUUGGCAAAUCCGCUUACUAUUAAGACUAAGUUAUGAGUACGAGCGACCCCUCGGGUAGUAGCA